GACUAACGCUGGCGGCGCGCCUAACACAUGCAAGUCGCACGAGGAACCCUCCGCAAGGAGGGCAGUAAAGUGGCGAACGGGUGAGUAAUACAUGGGUGACCUGUCCUCAAGAUGGGAAUAACCUCGCGAAAGCGGGGCUAAUACCCAGUGCCAUUUCGAUCCUUCGGGAUCGGAAUGAAAGAUAGCUGUUACAGGCUGUUGCUUGAAGAGGGGCCCAUGCCCCANCAGCUAGUUGGUAGGUAACGGCCUACCAAGGCUAUGACGGGUAGCUGGUCUGAGAGGACGACCAGCCACACUGGCACUGAGACACGGGCCAGACUCCUACGGGAGGCAGCAGUGAGGAAUCUUGCGCAAUGGAC
Molecule: ribosomal RNA, 359 nt
Filed under: uncultured bacterium
Lineage: Bacteria
Description: partial 16S ribosomal RNA
Rfam family: Bacterial small subunit ribosomal RNA
Source: RNAcentral